This 818-nucleotide ribosomal RNA is filed under the name Escherichia coli. Its description in RNAcentral is "bacterial SSU rRNA". It matches the Rfam family "Bacterial small subunit ribosomal RNA", at positions 687 to 1505 of the family's 1533-position model. The record is from RNAcentral. Lineage: Bacteria; Pseudomonadati; Pseudomonadota; Gammaproteobacteria; Enterobacterales; Enterobacteriaceae.
UGCGUAGAGAUCUGGAGGAAUACCGGUGGCGAAGGCGGCCCCCUGGACGAAGACUGACGCUCAGGUGCGAAAGUGUGGGGAGCAAACAGGAUUAGAUACCCUGGUAGUCCACGCCGUAAACGAUGUCGACUUGGAGGUUGUGCCCUUGAGGCGUGGCUUCCGGAGCUAACGCGUUAAGUCGACCGCCUGGGGAGUACGGCCGCAAGGUUAAAACUCAAAUGAAUUGACGGGGGCCCGCACAAGCGGUGGAGCAUGUGGUUUAAUUCGAUGCAACGCGAAGAACCUUACCUGGUCUUGACAUCCACAGAACUUUCCAGAGAUGGAUUGGUGCCUUCGGGAACUGUGAGACAGGUGCUGCAUGGCUGUCGUCAGCUCGUGUUGUGAAAUGUUGGGUUAAGUCCCGCAACGAGCGCAACCCUUAUCCUUUGUUGCCAGCGGUCCGGCCGGGAACUCAAAGGAGACUGCCAGUGAUAAACUGGAGGAAGGUGGGGAUGACGUCAAGUCAUCAUGGCCCUUACGACCAGGGCUACACACGUGCUACAAUGGCGCAUACAAAGAGAAGCGACCUCGCGAGAGCAAGCGGACCUCAUAAAGUGCGUCGUAGUCCGGAUUGGAGUCUGCAACUCGACUCCAUGAAGUCGGAAUCGCUAGUAAUCGUGGAUCAGAAUGCCACGGUGAAUACGUUCCCGGGCCUUGUACACACCGCCCGUCACACCAUGGGAGUGGGUUGCAAAAGAAGUAGGUAGCUUAACCUUCGGGAGGGCGCUUACCACUUUGUGAUUCAUGACUGGGGUGAAGUCGUAACAAGGUAACCGUAG